UCAUCCUGCCACUCUAAACUUCUUUUGUGUUCGAUCAUAAAUUCGAUUUUAUGAUGGCUCGACUCGACUCG
Molecule: non-coding RNA, 71 nt
Organism: Caenorhabditis elegans
Lineage: Eukaryota; Metazoa; Nematoda; Chromadorea; Rhabditida; Rhabditidae
Source: Ensembl